This 73-nucleotide transfer RNA is filed under the name Bacteroidia bacterium. Its description in RNAcentral is "tRNA-Glu". It matches the Rfam family "tRNA". From Rfam's summary of the family: Transfer RNA (tRNA) molecules are approximately 80 nucleotides in length. Their secondary structure includes four short double-helical elements and three loops (D, anti-codon, and T loops). Further hydrogen bonds mediate the characteristic L-shaped molecular structure. tRNAs have two regions of fundamental functional importance: the anti-codon, which is responsible for specific mRNA codon recognition, and the 3' end, to which the tRNAs corresponding amino acid is attached (by aminoacyl-tRNA synthetases). tRNAs cope with the degeneracy of the genetic code in two manners: having more than one tRNA (with a specific anti-codon) for a particular amino acid; and 'wobble' base-pairing, i.e. permitting non-standard base-pairing at the 3rd anti-codon position. Lineage: Bacteria; Pseudomonadati; Bacteroidota; Bacteroidia. The record is from RNAcentral.
GCUCUGUUCUUCUAAACGGUUAGGAAACCAGACUUUCAAUCUGGCAACGCGGGUUCGAUUCCCGCACAGAGUA